RNAcentral lists this ribosomal RNA (235 nucleotides) under uncultured bacterium. Its description in RNAcentral is "partial 16S ribosomal RNA". It matches the Rfam family "Bacterial small subunit ribosomal RNA", at positions 87 to 339 of the family's 1533-position model. The record is from RNAcentral.
CGGAGAGAGUGGCAGACGGGUGAGUAACGCGUGGGAAUCUACCUAGUUCUACGGGAUAGCCAUUGGAAACGAUGAUUAAUACCGUAUACGCCCUAAGGGGGAAAGAUUUAUCGGAAUUAGAUGAGCCCGCGUUAGAUUAGUUUGUUGGUGGGGUAAUGGCCUACCAAGACUACGAUCUAUAGCUGGUUUGAGAGGAUGAUCAGCCACACUGGGACUGAGACACGGCCCAGACUCC